UACGGGGGGAGCAAGCGUUGUUCGGAUUUACUGGGCGUAAAGGGCGCGUAGGCGGCCAGCACAAGUCAGUUGUGAAAUCUCCGGGCUUAACUCGGAAAGGUCAACUGAUACUGUGCGGCUAGAGUGCAGAAGGGGCAACUGGAAUUCUCGGUGUAGCGGUGAAAUGCGUAGAUAUCAAGUAGAACACCAGUGGCGAAGGCGAGUCCCUGGAAAACUCCUGACACUGAGGCACGAAAGCUAGGGGAGCAAACAGG
This 254-nucleotide ribosomal RNA is filed under the name uncultured bacterium. RNAcentral describes it as "partial 16S ribosomal RNA". It matches the Rfam family "Bacterial small subunit ribosomal RNA", at positions 524 to 776 of the family's 1533-position model. The record is from RNAcentral.